UAGCAAAAGGCGGAUUUCCCCCCUCUUUUAUCCGAUGUUCCAGAUGUUAUUAUCUAGUAUUUGGAGUAAUGGCCCACCUAGGAGACGAUCCCUAGCUAGUCUGAGAGGAUGACCAGCCACACUGGAACUGAGACUCGGUUCAGACUCGUACGGGAGGCAGCAGUGGGGAAUAUUGCACAAUUUGCGCAAGCCUGAUGCAGCCAUGCCGCUUGUGUGAAGAAGGCCUUCGGGUUAUAAAGCACUUUCAGCGGGGAGGAAGGCGGUACGGUUAAUAACCGUACUGACUGACGUUACCCCCAGAAGAAGCACCGGCUAAAUCCGUGCCAGCAGCCGCGGUAAUACGGAGGGUGCAAGCGUUAAUCGGAAUUACUGGGCGUAAAGCGCACGCAGGCGGUCUGUCAAGUCGGAUGUGAAAUCCCCGGGCUCAACCUGGGAACUGCAUUCGAAACUGGCAGGCUGGAGUCUCGUAGAGGGAGGUAGAAUUCCAGGUGUAGCGGUGAAAUGCGUAGAGAUCUGGAGGAAUACCGGUGGCGAAGGCGGCCUCCUGGACGAAGACUGACGCUCAGGUGCGAAAGCGUGGGGUGCAAACAGGAUUAGAUACCCUGGUAGUUCACGCCGUAACCUUAUUCGAUUUGGAGGUUGUACCCUUGAGGCGUGGCUUCCGGAGCUAACGCAUUAAAUCAACUCGUCCCCGGGUUUAUGCGCCA
This 707-nucleotide ribosomal RNA is filed under the name Kosakonia sp. Its description in RNAcentral is "bacterial SSU rRNA". It matches the Rfam family "Bacterial small subunit ribosomal RNA", at positions 199 to 873 of the family's 1533-position model. The record is from RNAcentral. Lineage: Bacteria; Pseudomonadati; Pseudomonadota; Gammaproteobacteria; Enterobacterales; Enterobacteriaceae.